RNAcentral lists this ribosomal RNA (446 nucleotides) under uncultured bacterium. Its description in RNAcentral is "partial 16S ribosomal RNA". It matches the Rfam family "Bacterial small subunit ribosomal RNA", at positions 339 to 795 of the family's 1533-position model. The record is from RNAcentral.
CUACGGGAUGCACCAGUCGAGAAUAUUGGUCAAUGGGGGAAACCCUGAACCAGCGACGCCGCGUGCGGGAAGAAGGCCUUCGGGUCGUAAACCGCUUUUAUUAGGGAAAAACCUUCGGGUGAUUGUACCUAAUGAAUAAGGGGAGCCUAAUUCUGUGCCAGCAGGCGCGGUAAUUCAGAAUCCUCAAGCGUUAUCCGGAUUUAUUGGGCGUAAAGGGUCCGUAGGUGGUCAGGAAAGUCUCCGGUUAAAUACCCAGGGCUUAACCUUGGGAAUGCUGGAGAUACUUCCUAACUAGAGGGCGCUAGGGGCUGAUGGAACGGUCGGUGUAGGGGUGAAAUCCGUUGAUAUCGACCGGAACACCAAAAGCGAAGGCAUUCAGCUGGGGCGACCCUGACACUGAGGGACGAAAGCGUGGGUAGCAAAAAGGAUUAGAUACCCCGGUAGUC